ACAACCCAAUUCAAUGAAAUCACACCCUUUAAAUAAUGUUUUGUUUAUUUCUGCUCCUGCUGACUACAGACAGUUGGUGACUGUUUUUCCUUGACUGAAACGGAAAGGCUGAAGCUGAUGAACUGAACAUUUCCCAGGCUGCAAUUCGGUUUUUGAUGUCUGCAGGCCAAAAACAUGCCUUUUCCUCUGAAAUCCAGACUGAGCCUAUAGUAGUCCAUUUUGACCUUUAGAUUCCUUAUCAGUCACCUUUGGUCUCUGACAGUGGUUGGACAGGCCAAUCAACAGAGGUCCACUCUCCAUGAACAAAGGCUGGUUAUGUAAAAGAGGUGAGCUGUGGGCAGAGAUACGAUCUGAAGAGAAGGUACUGAACUCAUCCUCUGUGUUCCAGCAGCAUGUCCAGGACUGCUGUCACUACAAAAAGUGAAACUUCACCCAAAAACAUUUUCUCUGCUGGUGAUUUAAACCCACACCUUCGUUAAGGAAGCAGCUGGAUUUCAGAGAGAGGCAGGCAACCACCAAUAUUGAAACCAGCAUGCAACUGUGCACUGAGUUCAACGUGGGACCGGCACCCAUGGACCCUGAGAUCAUGACCUGAGCUGAAGCCGGAUGCUUCAUUGACUGAAACACCCAGGCGCCCCAUCAAGGUAAGAUGCUUUAAAAGCUUUAGGAAAUACACCUUUCUCCUUUCUCCAUUACUCAAUACUCAUAGAGACUCUAAGAUGAAAACUUUUAUUCCAAGAAUUUAGCAGUUUGUUCCCUAAAAACGUUAACCUCCUCAACUCUGAGAAAUACAUCCACUGCUUCCUAUAGAUAGAAUCUGGAAAUUCUAACUUCAUCAGUUAGAACUGUUUACAAACUAAUGUGUUUGAUCAUCUUUUUAAAUUUCACUAUCCUUAGAGUAAAAUGGUACUACUGGAAAUCUCAAUGCUGUUUAACAUUUCCUAAACAGAAAACAACGAAAUGUUGCUCAAGGUCUGAAUUAAUUUGCUGCAGGAUUCUAGGUAAGCUGGAUUUCUCUGAAAUCCAGCUGCUUCCUGUAAGUUUAUCUUUGGGGUCUAAAAUUCUCUAAGUCAAAAAUGGUGAUUUUAGAAUUUAGAAUUCGCAAAUUCUACAUAUAUACUCAACAACAGCUCAGGAUAAUUAGUUUAUUUUGACCUCUAACCAACAAUAAUGUAUUGAUAAAUUCGCAAAUGCUACAUAUAUACUCAACAACAGCUCAGGAUAAUUAGUUUAUUUUGACCUCUAACCAACAAUAAUGUAUUGAUAAUACAUUAUUAUUUCAUCUUCCUACCUGUUCUACUCAAAUAGUUCACAAAUUAAAGCAUUUUCCAUUAGUGUUUAGGUAUGAAAUAGCUUCCUGAUAGAAAAAGGCAAAUGAGGAUCAGUUUUUCUAGGUCUCUAAGUAGUUCAGAUGAAUUAAUGAAUAAAAUUCUAUUUAUCUCAAUUUCACUUAUCAUUUCAGGAGUGCUAUGAAAAUGAAUUACCAAAACUGCUGGUGGCAGUGAGACUGGUAUAUUUCUGGAGCUCCACCAUGAAUCAACACAAAGAAAAAACCUGAAACUCAAAUGAGCUUAAUUUGAUUUGGUAGGAGAGCAAACCAUCAAUUAAAAUAAUAAAUUAUGUGUAACAUUAUAAAUCA
This is a long non-coding RNA of Felis catus (domestic cat), 1639 nucleotides long. RefSeq lists it as uncharacterized. The record is from RefSeq and is a predicted model, not a curated record. The transcript has 3 exons. Lineage: Eukaryota; Metazoa; Chordata; Mammalia; Carnivora; Felidae.